UACAGAGGGGGCAAGCGUUGUUCGGAAUUACUGGGCGUAAAGGGCGCGUAGGCGGCCUGCUAAGUCGAACGUGAAAUCCCCGAGCUCAACUCGGGAACUGCGUCCGAUACUGGCAGGCUUGAAUCCGGGAGAGGGAUGCGGAAUUCCAGGUGUAGCGGUGAAAUGCGUAGAUAUCUGGAGGAACACCGGUGGCGAAGGCGGCCUUCUGGACAGUGACUGACGCUGAGACGCGAAAGCGUGGGGAGCAAACAGG
Molecule: ribosomal RNA, 253 nt
Filed under: uncultured bacterium
Lineage: Bacteria
Description: partial 16S ribosomal RNA
Rfam family: Bacterial small subunit ribosomal RNA
Source: RNAcentral